Molecule: transfer RNA, 76 nt
Filed under: Neisseriaceae bacterium
Lineage: Bacteria; Pseudomonadati; Pseudomonadota; Betaproteobacteria; Neisseriales; Neisseriaceae
Description: tRNA-Glu
Rfam family: tRNA
About the family: Transfer RNA (tRNA) molecules are approximately 80 nucleotides in length. Their secondary structure includes four short double-helical elements and three loops (D, anti-codon, and T loops). Further hydrogen bonds mediate the characteristic L-shaped molecular structure. tRNAs have two regions of fundamental functional importance: the anti-codon, which is responsible for specific mRNA codon recognition, and the 3' end, to which the tRNAs corresponding amino acid is attached (by aminoacyl-tRNA synthetases). tRNAs cope with the degeneracy of the genetic code in two manners: having more than one tRNA (with a specific anti-codon) for a particular amino acid; and 'wobble' base-pairing, i.e. permitting non-standard base-pairing at the 3rd anti-codon position.
Source: RNAcentral
GCUCCCAUCGUCUAGUGGCCUAGGACAUCGCCCUUUCAUGGCGGUAACCGAGGUUCGAAUCCUCGUGGGAGUGCCA